This 73-nucleotide transfer RNA is filed under the name Crocidura grayi (Luzon shrew). Its description in RNAcentral is "tRNA-Gln". It matches the Rfam family "tRNA". Rfam says of the family: Transfer RNA (tRNA) molecules are approximately 80 nucleotides in length. Lineage: Eukaryota; Metazoa; Chordata; Mammalia; Eulipotyphla; Soricidae. RNAcentral also lists the same sequence under 1 other name. The record is from RNAcentral.
UAGAACUUGGUGUAGAAUGGUAGCACGGAGAUUUUUGAUUUCUCAAGGGUAGGUUCAAUUCCUAUGAUUCUAG